GGAAUAUUGGACAAUGGGCGCAAGCCUGAUCCAGCCAUGCCGCGUGUGUGAAGAAGGCCUUCGGGUUGUAAAGCACUUUUGUACAGGAAGAAAAGCGUCCGGUUAAUACCCGGGUGUCAUGACGGUACCGUAAGAAGAAGCACCGGCUAACUACGUGCCAGCAGCCGCGGUAAUACGUAGGGUGCAAGCGUUAAUCGGAAUUACUGGGCGUAAAGCGUACGCAGGCGGCUUUGCAAGACAGGUGUGAAAUCCCCGGGCCUAACCUGGGAACUGCAUUUGUGACUGCAUGGCUAGAGUCUGUCAGAGGGGGGUGGAAUUCCACGUGUAGCAGUGAAAUGCGUAGAGAUGUGGAAGAACACCGAUGGCGAAGGCAGCCCCCUGGGAUAAGACUGACGCUCAUGUACGAAAGCGUGGGGAGCAAAC
This 423-nucleotide ribosomal RNA is filed under the name uncultured bacterium. Its description in RNAcentral is "bacterial SSU rRNA". It matches the Rfam family "Bacterial small subunit ribosomal RNA", at positions 358 to 773 of the family's 1533-position model. The record is from RNAcentral.